Molecule: long non-coding RNA, 2243 nt
Organism: Pezoporus flaviventris
Lineage: Eukaryota; Metazoa; Chordata; Aves; Psittaciformes; Psittacidae
Exons: 3
Source: RefSeq, a predicted model, not a curated record
CAGAAAAGGUUGGGAAAGUGACUGUUGAUUGGUGGUGCUAGGGAAUUCUUCAUCAGUCAGUAACACCAUGGGCAGCUUUGGGGACUUCCAAAAUGUUGGCAAACACAGCUCCAGCUGGCAUGGGGACUGUUGCUUCUCCAUGAGCAGAAUAGCAAAGUCUAUGAAUCCAUUGUGAACAGCUGCACUUACAUUUGUGUUUGCUGUAAAACAAAACUAGGGGAAACUGUUUUGUCUUUGCCAUUUCUGUUCCUUUCAGCAAACAACAAAAAAGCCAAAUAAAACCAACCACACAACCAAAUGAGAAAAUCCCCAAAAUCCCAACAAGCAGUCUCUAGAGCUCUAGUGCUAAGAAAUACAUUAGAAAGCUGGGAGAAUCCAAAUUUAAAUGUUUCAUCUUCUGUACUUAUUGGAGAGAAUUUUUACCAUAGGAACAUACAGCAUGAAAACUUGUAACAGGGUGGGAGGAUGAGAUUUGGAGAAACUGGAGCUGGAACUUAAGGCAAUAUUCAGGCAGUGAUUAUGCAAUUGUUGCAUAACAUGGAGAGUGCUUGCAUGAAUAAUCCUAUUAACAUUAGAGUUUCACAAUCAGGUAAUUGAACACUGCACUGUUCAAAAUCAUCUGUAUUUAAUGGUGGAAAAAUCAGCAAAAUCACUAUUAAUAAAACAAUGAUCUCAUUAAAUAUAGUCUUUCUCAGGGGGGGAUAAGAGUGGAAGAACAUCAGAGGAAAGAAUGGAGGAAAACAUUUUCUCAGCUUAGAUAUAGUAGUAAGGCUUUGUUUUAAUGGUUUCCUUUGAGAAAGAGAAAUGAUGGGGAAAAGGUAUAGAUUACUACCAUGGGCUAUUGGUAAUUUAUUUGUUGUGGCUGAGAAGAGCUGUGAACACUGGGAUUGACAAAAUUGAAAGGAAAGGGAAAAAAAUUAGACUAGUCACCCAAAUAAUUUGCAAGUUUCUGUUUGUAUCUAGAAAGUGCCAGAGCCAGCAGAGGUGGAAGGAUUCAUCCCAAACAUCUGACAAUGGUUUAUACUAAUGAAGUAUAAACUGGAGCAGCAGGUGCAGCUGCCCCUGCCUCCGCCUCCCAAGUUAUAAGGCCCCCAUGACUAAGAAAAGGCAUCUAUUCCCUGGCUCUCACAGCCCCCAUCGGGUGGGGAGCCCAGGCUGCUGUGGGGGCUGCUCCUUCACCUGCUGAAGGUGAGGGCUAAGAACUUCCUCUGUGAGCUAGUGGGCAGCAGCAGCAGCAUGCAUGAGCGAACUGUAGCACUUGCGUCAAGGCUGGAAAAGCUGCUGCACCUCUCUAAGCUGUUUUUGUGCUCCCGGUGUGAGAACACACACAUUGAGCCUGUGUCCAUGCCAAAGGUGAUCCCAGGCAAGGCUUGGGCUGUGAGUGGGUGAGAGUUGUGUUCCCUCUGCAAGAUUCACGUGCCACCUCCUGCAACUUUGCCAGCUACAAAGCAGCCACUCGUGUCUAAAGAACCUCUGCACAAACAUAUAGGCAGCAGCAGCAACUCUGGUGCCAGGUGCUUGGAAAACAAGUCAUGAAAUAUCUGAUAUAUGAAGUCUAAGCUACAUGCCAAAGCAGAAAUUAACCUCUGUUAGGCUGCCUUCCUCCUCCCCUCCCAGAAGUUUUAAGGCUACAGAAAAUCAGUGGGUCUAUAAAGAUGCAUCUCCAGGCACCAGGAACACGGCAGUGACAGCUGAAAUUUAACCUGUGUUAAUGUUGCCAGAAAGAAUUUGACUAUUAGGUUCUUAUAGCUAAAGAAUUUAUAUAGUCAUCUAUGCAAAAAGACUGAGAAAACGUGUAGCUGCUUGAGGAAAGUAAUCUGCUUUUAUCUCAUGCCACAAUAUUUGAAAAAGCAAAUCCAGUGCCUUAAACACCAAUUGCUGCAGAAAACUGGAGCCUUUCAAAACUAAUAUCCUUCUAGCUGGAUUUAUUCAUCAGCUUUAUAAGUCUUUUGACAUGACAAAACUUAUGACCAUUUUCAGGCCAAAUAGAACUGAUAUUAGGAAGAAAAAUAAUAUUUUUACUGUUGUCCCUAGGUGACAAUCCACAAUUGGUCUGGAGGAUAACUGUGAGGCAGCCUUCCCUAUUCCAGUUUCUCUUAUCCUGUAUAGAGCAGUCAUCUACCAGUCUUCCAUGGUUGUUGCUUUCUUGGAUAUAUUUAAUAGAUUUGAAAGUGGUAAUAGUCUUGAAGUUUUAUUUCUAUGGGAAGAUACAUCUAGAGAAUGUAUGGAAGUCACAGGGUUUU